UACGAAGGGGGCUAGCGUUGCUCGGAAUCACUGGGCGUAAAGGGUGCGUAGGCGGGUCUUUUAAGUCAGGGGUGAAAUCCUGGAGCUCAACUCCAGAACUGCCUUUGAUACUGAAGAUCUUGAGUUCGGGAGAGGUGAGUGGAACUGCGAGUGUAGAGGUGAAAUUCGUAGAUAUUCGCAAGAACACCAGUGGCGAAGGCGGCUCACUGGCCCCGGUACUGACGCUGAGGUGCGAAAGCGUGGGGAGCAAACAGG
Molecule: ribosomal RNA, 255 nt
Filed under: uncultured bacterium
Lineage: Bacteria
Description: partial 16S ribosomal RNA
Rfam family: Bacterial small subunit ribosomal RNA
Source: RNAcentral